This 439-nucleotide ribosomal RNA is filed under the name uncultured Allobrachymonas sp. Its description in RNAcentral is "bacterial SSU rRNA". It matches the Rfam family "Bacterial small subunit ribosomal RNA", at positions 936 to 1382 of the family's 1533-position model. Lineage: Bacteria; Pseudomonadati; Pseudomonadota; Betaproteobacteria; Burkholderiales; Comamonadaceae. The record is from RNAcentral.
AGCAUGUGGUUUAAUUCGAAGCAACGCGAAGAACCUUACCAGGUCUUGACAUCCCGAUGCUAUUCUAGAGAUAGAAAGUUACUUCGGUACAUCGGUGACAGGUGCUGCAUGGCUGUCGUCAGCUCGUGUCGUGAGAUGUUGGGUUAAGUCCCGCAACGAGCGCAACCCUUGCCAUUAGUUGCUACGAAAGGGCACUCUAAUGGGACUGCCGGUGACAAACCGGAGGAAGGUGGGGAUGACGUCAAGUCCUCAUGGCCCUUAUAGGUGGGGCUACACACGUCAUACAAUGGCCGGUACAGAGGGUAGCCAACCCGCGAGGGGGAGCCAAUCCCACAAAGCCGGUCGUAGUCCGGAUCGCAGUCUGCAACUCGACUGCGUGAAGUCGGAAUCGCUAGUAAUCGCGGAUCAGCAUGUCGCGGUGAAUACGUUCCCGGGUCUU